AUGCAAGGAGAGAGGGAGUACAAGUCAGAGAUCAAGGUGAUAAGCAGGCUGCGUCACCGGAACCUCGUGCAGCUCCUCGGCUGGUGCCAUGACCGUGAGGAGCUCCUGCUGGUCUACGAGCUCAUGCCCAACCGCAGCCUCGACAUCCAUCUCCACGGCAAGCAGGGCACCUUCCUCACGUGGCCAAUGAGGAUGAAGACAUUGCAGGAGCUUGGGUCUGCACUGCUCUACCUCCAUGAGGAGUGGGAGCAAUGUGUGUUACACCGGGACAUCAAGCCCAGCAACGUGAUGCUCGACGAGUCCUUUGGAGCCAAGUUAGGCGACUUCGGGCUAGCGAGGCUCGUUGACCAUGCCGCUGGGGUGCAAACAAUGACCGCAAUUUCGGGGACUCCGGGCUACUUGGAUCCCGAGUGCGUGAGCACCGGUAGGGCCAGCGCCGAGUCCGAUGUGUACAGUUUUGGCGUGGUUCUACUGGAGGUAGCAUGCGGCAGGAGGCCAAUGAGCAUAACGAGGCCAAUGAGCAUAACCUCGGCCGACCAGGACAAGCAGAAGAACGGCGGCGUUUUCCGGCUGGUCGAGUGGGCCUGGGGGCUAUAUGGCCACGGAGCCAUUCUUGAGGCCGUCGACGAGCGGCUGAACGGUGACUACAACGCAGCAGAGGUGGAGAGGGUGAUGGUCGUCGGGCUGUGGUGCGCACAUCCGGACCCAAGCGCGCGACCGUCCAUCAGGACAGCCAUUGGGGCGCUCCAGUCCAACUCCAAGGUCCACAGAGCCUGCAGUAAGCUGCCGGUGCUCCCCUCCAAGAUGCCGGUACCCAUGUACGCUUCUCCCCCGUUCGCCCUCGCGGACUUGUCGUCCAACUCCAGCGUGCAGCCGCACACCUCCAGUACCACUACUUCCUCCGACGCUAGCACUUCCAUGACCAGUUCAAAGGCCUCUUCUUCGCUACUGAAACAUCAAUACUAG
This 966-nucleotide ribosomal RNA is filed under the name Triticum aestivum (bread wheat). Its description in RNAcentral is "partial small subunit ribosomal RNA". Lineage: Eukaryota; Viridiplantae; Streptophyta; Magnoliopsida; Poales; Poaceae. The record is from RNAcentral.